GGAUUAGAUACCCUGGUAGUCCACACCGUAAACGCUGUCUACUAGCUGUGUGUGUAUUUAAUACGUGCGUAGCGAAGCUAACGCGCUAAGUAGACCGCCUGGGGAGUACGGCCGCAAGGUUAAAACUCAAAUGAAUUGACGGGGGCCCGCACAAGCGGUGGAGCAUGUGGUUUAAUUCGAUGCAACGCGAAGAACCUUACCUACACUUGACAUGCCAAGAACUUUCUAGAGAUAGAUUGGUGCCUUCGGGAACUUGGACACAGGUGCUGCAUGACUGUCGUCAGCUCGUGCCG
RNAcentral lists this ribosomal RNA (293 nucleotides) under uncultured bacterium. RNAcentral's name for it is "partial 16S ribosomal RNA". It matches the Rfam family "Bacterial small subunit ribosomal RNA", at positions 775 to 1067 of the family's 1533-position model. The record is from RNAcentral.